GGGGAAUAUUGCACAAUGGGCGCAAGCCUGAUGCAGCGACGCCGCGUGCGGGAUGACGGCCUUCGGGUUGUAAACCGCUUUUGAUCGGGAGCAAGCCUUCGGGUGAGUGUACCUUUCGAAUAAGCACCGGCUAACUACGUGCCAGCAGCCGCGGUAAUACGUAGGGUGCAAGCGUUAUUCGGAAUUAUUGGGCGUAAAGGGCUCGUAGGCGGUUCGUCGCGUCCGGUGUGAAAGUCCAUCGCUUAACGGUGGAUCUGCGCCGGGUACGGGCGGGCUGGAGUGCGGUAGGGGAGACUGGAAUUCCCGGUGUAACGGUGGAAUGUGUAGAUAUCGGGAAGAACACCAAUGGCGAAGGCAGGUCUCUGGGCCGUUACUGACGCUGAGGAGCGAAAGCGUGGGGAGCGAACAGGAUUAGAUACCCUGGUAGUCCACGCCGUAAACGGUGGAUGCUGGAUGUGGGGCCCGUUCCACGGGUUCCGUGUCGGAGCUAACGCGUUAAGCAUCCCGCCUGGGGAGUACGGCCGCAAGGCUAAAACUCAAAGAAAUUGACGGGGGCCCGCACAAGCGGCGGAGCAUGCGGAUUAAUUCGAUGCAACGCGAAGAACCUUACCUGGGCUUGACAUGUUCCCGACAGCCGUAGAGAUAUGGCCUCCCUUCGGGGCGGGUUCACAGGUGGUGCAUGGUCGUCGUCAGCUCGUGUCGUGAGAUGUUGGGUUAAGUCCCGCAACGAGCGCAACCCUCGCCCUGUGUUGCCAGCACGUCAUGGUGGGAACUCACGGGGGACCGCCGGGGUCAACUCGGAGGAAGGUGGGGAUGACGUCAGAUCAUCAUGCCCCUUACGUCCAGGGCUUCACGCAUGCUACAAUGGCCGGUACAACGGGAUGCGACACGGCGACGUGGAGCGGAUCCCUGAAAACCGGUCUCAGUUCGGAUUGGAGUCUGCAACCCGACUCCAUGAAGGCGGAGUCGCUAGUAAUCGCGGAUCAGCAACGCCGCGGUGAAUGCGUUCCCG
Molecule: ribosomal RNA, 1012 nt
Filed under: uncultured bacterium
Lineage: Bacteria
Description: bacterial SSU rRNA
Rfam family: Bacterial small subunit ribosomal RNA
Source: RNAcentral